UUUUGGCCUUCAUCAUCCCAAGCAAACACCUUCCUCUGCUUCAUUCCUCUCACCUGCAUUCCACAGCAGGUUGAGAACUUCAUUUAACUUCCUCUUUGUCUUCGAAUUUGACAUCACCAAUGGCUUGCUUAGAGGUUUGCAAAGAGACAAAGUUCAAAGAUGAUCAAGAAGAGUUCACUCUUGAUGGCAGUGUUGAUUGGCAUGGCCGCCCCGCUAUCAGAGCCAAAUCUGGAACAUGGGUUGCUGGAACCAUCAUACUAUUGAACCAAGGUCUGGCAACUCUAGCAUUCUUUGGAAUUGGGGUGAACCUAGUGCUCUUCCUGACAAGAGUGAUGGGACAAGAUAAUGCCGAUGCUGCAAACAGUGUGAGCAAAUGGACUGGCACAGUUUACAUCUUCUCUCUAGUGGGUGCUUUCCUCAGUGAUUCUUAUUGGGGAAGAUACAAAACUUGUGCCAUAUUUCAGGUCAUCUUUGUAAUAGGUCUUGUAUCUUUGUCCCUUUCGUCGUACAUCUCCUUGAUUAGACCAAAAGGUUGUGGGAAUGAAUCAAUUCAAUGCGGUAAACACUCAAGCUUGGAAAUGGGGAUGUUCUACCUCUCAAUCUAUCUCAUUGCCUUGGGGAAUGGUGGGUAUCAACCAAAUAUUGCCACAUUUGGAGCUGAUCAAUUUGAUGAGGAGCACUCAAAGGAGGGUUACUCAAAGGUGGCCUUCUUUAGCUACUUCUACCUGGCAUUGAACCUUGGUUCACUCUUCUCAAACACCAUUCUGGGCUAUUUUGAAGAUGAAGGGAUCUGGGCCCUUGGGUUCUGGGCAUCUGCAGGCUCUGCCUUUGCCGCCCUCGUCUUAUUUUUAGUUGGGACCCCCAGAUAUAGACACUUUAAACCCAGUGGCAAUCCUCUUUCAAGGUUCUGCCAAGUCCUUGUUGCUGCAUCAAGGAAAUGGACAGUUCAAAUGGCAUCAAAUGAAGAGGACUUGUAUGUCAUGGAUGAAAAUGAAUCUUCCACCAAUGGCAACAGAAGGAUUCUCCACACCGACGGGUUCAAGUUUUUGGAUAGGGCAGCAUUUAUGUCUUCCACAGAUCUAGAGGACCAUAAAGGAGGCCUUUAUAACCCCUGGCGUCUCUGCCCUAUAACUCAAGUAGAAGAAGUGAAGUGCAUAUUAAGACUUCUUCCAAUUUGGCUCUGCACUAUACUAUACUCAGUGGGUUUCACACAAAUGGCAUCUCUUUUUGUGGAGCAAGGGGCUGCCAUGAAAACUACAAUUUCCCAUUUCAGAAUACCACCGGCUAGCAUGUCUAGUUUUGACAUCCUCAGUGUAGCUAUAUUCAUUUUCUUCUACCGUCGAGUGCUUGAUCCACUUGUAGGAAAGCUUAAAAAGACAAGCUCCAGGGGACUUACUGAGCUUCAGAGAAUGGGAAUUGGGCUUGUUAUAGCUGUAAUGGCAAUGGUUUCAGCUGGAAUAGUUGAAUGCUAUAGGCUGAAGUAUGCAAAACAAGGGUGCCCCCACUGCAGUGGCUCCAGCACUCUAAGCAUCUUUUGGCAAAUUCCUCAGUACGCACUUAUAGGAGCUUCAGAGGUUUUUAUGUAUGUAGGUCAGUUAGAGUUCUUUAAUGCUCAGACACCAGAUGGCUUAAAGAGCUUUGGAAGUGCCCUUUGCAUGACAUCAAUCUCCCUUGGAAACUACGUAAGUAGCUUACUUGUUAGUAUAGUUAUGAAGAUCUCCACUGAGGAUCACAUGCCAGGGUGGAUCCCUGGAAACCUAAACAGAGGUCAUCUAGAUAGGUUUUACUUCCUCUUAGCUGCUUUGACAUCAAUAGACCUGGUGGCUUAUAUUGUAUGUGCAAAGUGGUUCAAGAGUAUACAGCUGGAAGGGAAAUAUGAAGAGAAUGAUAAGCCUGGUAGCUACAAAGUCUAAUUGCAAUGUACAACAAUCAACGGCUAUGGUUACAGCAUAUAUAAAUAAGAGAAAGAAGGGACCAACUAGUCAAAAUAACUUGAGCUAUAGCUGCUAUUGGAAGAAACAAUGGCAGAUCUUACCAACUAUGCCUUCCCUCCCAAAGCUAACACAAAUGUUCCUGUCAUUGAUGCCUGGAAGUGGAACAUGGACAAACAUUGCUAUCAUGGACAAUCCACUAAGGCACCAAGGGAUUUCUUAUACAUUCUAAUUUAGCAGAGUGACAGCAUAGGUGUGAUUGCUUACACAGAUAUUCAAUUACCAAAUAAAAUCCUAACUGGCAGUGGCAGACCUAAUGUAAAGGCUGUUGUAAUGUGGACAAAAAGAGUUCUGUUAAAAACCACUUAAAUAAAAAACAGUAUUGACCAGCAACAUAUAUUGUAGGUCAAUAUAUUUCAAGUGUCGUACAUGGAUCACCUAAAAAUAAGAUAACAUAAACCACCAACUUAGAAUUUUUAAGUUAAAAAAGCACUUAGGGUGCCAGGAUUCCUGUGUCUUUGUAAUCAAUGGCUGAAAUAGAAUUGACAUCCCGUGCCUUAUUUUCCUACCAAAGCAAAUAAUUCAUAUUUUCAUUAAGAUUAUCAGACCAAGUAGCAAAGGCGCACAUUAUGCAAUGGAGACCAUUUCCUUCUCUAUUUAGAAUCCAAAGAAGAAUUGCCCAUAUAAGAAGAUAAAUCAGAAGGAUUAACAAUCAAUAAAUAGAAGGUUUGCUUAACAAUCCAAUGAAGAAUUGCCCCAUAUAAGAAGUGACUGAUUUAUCAUUAAGAGCAAAGCAAAAUACUCUUAAGCCCAGUUUGCACGCCUCAGCAAAGACUGAUAAGUUCAUUGUGUUUAUUUUAUUAUUUGCCAUCAUUUUCUUUUAUUAGUUGAGAGUGUUCUCCAUUAAAAUUUUCCAACAAUAAGCACAUUGUCAAGCAAGUAAUAGGCAACAAAGCAAUACAAUCCUAUUGCUAUCAGAGACCAACACACAUAACUCCACGAAAACCAUUUCAGCAUGAGGAUAUCAAAAUACAGAAGGAAUCAGUCGCCGAAGUUUAAGCAAUGUUAAUGCAAAUCACGAAAUCAAUCUAAGAGUGAGGGCAGCUAAAUUGGAGGUCUCUGCUCUGCAACAAAAACAAAAGACGUGAUUUAAACUCCCCUCGAACAGAUAAAUAAUUGAAAUGUUGACGCGACGGAACGAGAUCAGAACCCACGAGUGAGGAGUAUAGGGAGGCUGAAGGAAAUUUGAGAACCAAAUUCACUGUUCAGGGAAAUAAGGGAAACAUUUUCGAAGUUCUUCCUAUUUUUUUAAAUAAUAAUUUAUUAUUUCAUAAAAUAAAUAUUAAAUAAAAAGAAUAAAUUUAUUAUCUUGCAACUAUAAAAAUAAUUUAAUAUUUUAUUUACUAAUUAAAAGUUUUU
RNA transcript from Abrus precatorius (Indian licorice), 3350 nucleotides. It is a transcript of the gene named protein NRT1/ PTR FAMILY 7.3-like, with no coding region annotated. The transcript is spliced from 6 exons. Lineage: Eukaryota; Viridiplantae; Streptophyta; Magnoliopsida; Fabales; Fabaceae. The record is from RefSeq and is a predicted model, not a curated record.